RNAcentral lists this ribosomal RNA (582 nucleotides) under uncultured bacterium. RNAcentral describes it as "bacterial SSU rRNA". It matches the Rfam family "Bacterial small subunit ribosomal RNA", at positions 337 to 917 of the family's 1533-position model. The record is from RNAcentral.
UCCUACGGGAGGCAGCAGUAGGGAAUCUUCCGCAAUGGACGAAAGUCUGACGGAGCAACGCCGCGUGAGUGAUGAAGGCUUUCGGGUCGUAAAACUCUGUUGUUAGGGAAGAAUAAGUGCUAGUUGAAUAAGCUGGCACCUUGACGGUACCUAACCAGAAAGCCACGGCUAACUACGUGCCAGCAGCCGCGGUAAUACGUAGGUGGCAAGCGUUAUCCGGAAUUAUUGGGCGUAAAGCGCGCGCAGGUGGUUUCUUAAGUCUGAUGUGAAAGCCCACGGCUCAACCGUGGAGGGUCAUUGGAAACUGGGAGACUUGAGUGCAGAAGAGGAAAGUGGAAUUCCAUGUGUAGCGGUGAAAUGCGUAGAGAUAUGGAGAAACACCAGUGGCGAAGGCGACUUUCUGGUCUGUAACUGACACUGAGGCGCGAAAGCGUGGGGAGCGAACGGGAUUAGAUACCCCGGUAGUCCACGCCGUAAACGAUGGAUACUAGCUGUUGGAUUUUUUCAGUGGCUAAGCGAAAGUGAUAAGUAUCCCACCUGGGGAGUACGGUCGCAAGAUUAAAACUCAAAGGAAUUGACGGA